UUUUGCUGAUAUCUAAAUCUGAAAUGUAGCUAAAAGCUAAGCUAAGCUAAUCGCCUAAUAGCAGCUAGCGAAAGCUACCUGCUAAUAGGCGGUGGGUGUUUACAAUGAAAUAAGGUAAUACAAUGAGGUAAAAAAAUAUACUCACAACUGGUAACACGAACAUCCAUCUUGCCCACGUUAUUAUUCCCCCUUUUUGCCUGGGUUCGCAUGCCGGUCUGGGCUUGUCAUGUUCACAGAGGAAGCCAUUACUCCAGCUUGAUUAUGACCUACAGGUGAGAGGUCACAGCAUCGCGGUCUCCUAUUGGUCAUGUAGGAAGCAGGAAGCAGCAAAAGCGCGGUUUCCUCUGUUGGCUUAACAACAAACUGGGUAAAAAAUGGGAAAUCUCACGCGACUGAAAAAACUAAUUAACGAGGAGGUUUCGAAAAGAGGCCCACUGAAGCUUAUAAAAUAUCUUCAGAGGAAAAAGCUACUUAAAAGAAAAAUGAAAUGAAAAGUCUGCCAGCAGAAAAUGGAACUGAAGAAAAGGUUGAACAACGGAGACCAAUAUGCUUGGUAAGAUAUCUAUUUUAAUUUUCAUAUUAUAUUUUUAGACUCAACUUCAUACAAAGUGACACACUUACUGUAAAAUUCAUUAGUAUUAUUUGUUUUCACACUAAAAUUCUCCUUAAAACAGAGCUAACAGGGAACCUCUUUAACAUAUUCCAUCCCUGCUAAACAAGACUUUACCCUCCUCUCAUGUUAGUGCGUGUCCUCCUCGCUCCUCUGUCCAUGCAGAGGUGCAAUGAGCACCCUGGACAAGGGGGAUAAAAGCAGCAUUAACAGGGCACUAGGCCCCUGUGUGUGGUCUCAUUUACAAUGACUUGUGCAUACAUAUUUCUCUGUCAUAAAAAAGAAAAAUGAGUAGCCUAUUUUAAGUAUAUUAAAGUCGAUUAACAUAACAUGUAAUUGUCUGGCAAAUUAAAGCAAGUGAAGUCAGUUAGAUUAUCACCUUAAAGACUUGUCAUUAACAUUACAACUACACAGAGUCCCUUUUAUCAUAUUUUUCUUAUUUGACAAAAAGACAAUGGUAAAUUGAUGGCUAAAGUUAAACAAAACAAGGAAUGACAAAAUUUGUCUGCAAGUGCACAUUAAGUUUAGUUUAAACAAAUACUUAUUGCAUAUAAUUAAACAUACAUAUUUCAUGUUACUAUUUUGAAAAUAGGAUCUGUCGUGGAGCAGCACAUGGUGGAACACGUCAAACAAACCUCCGUCAGACACAAGUCACUUUUCAGCCGUUCUAAAGUCUCACUUCAACGCUGGAUGCAAUUUAUCUACAGAUUUUCUCAGGAUCUGCGAUUACGUCAAAUCGACAUGAUAGAUGACACCAUUGCAGGCAGUACAACAACACUUAGUAAAAUGUCCCAAAAAAUAAGAAGGUUAUGUGUGGCUGCAGUUCAAAGAUUGAGACGUCGUACAGGUCAGCAGAUUGGUGGCCGAAGGGAGUUUGUUGUGAUCGAUGAGAGUCACUUUCGUCACAAACGAAAGUUUUUUGUUUCUGCAUCAGUAUGGGAGAGGAAGAAUGGCUGGGGGAUGGAAAAGAAGAAAGUGGGUCUUUGGAAUGCUGGGCAUAAAACAUCGAGGGAAAACAAGGCCUAUCUUGCGACUUGUGGAGAAAGGAUCUCGAAGACAUCUUGUUCCUGUGAUUACCUUUCAUGUCCGGAUUGGUUCCUCAGUGAUAAGUGAUGAAUGGCAGGCCUAUCGUGUACUCCCAGAUUUAGGGUAUGAACACCAUACUGUUAACCACAGCAGGUGGUAUGUUGACCCUCGUACAGGUGCCCAUACCCAACAUCUGGAGAGAGCCCGGAGGUCUUACAAGGAGGAAAUGUGGAGACUCUGGGGUAACAGAAAUGAUAGACUACUGUCAGAACACCUUACAGUUACUGAGUGGAAUGAGUGGCUUGCAAAAAAGCACAAAAAUGGUACAUUGGGGAGACUGAUAUAUGACAUUUCCAAAAAAUACAAAUAAUUCUAAAAGUUAAUGUUGCUACUGCUAUUUUUUUUUCUUUUUGAAAAUGUUUUUUGAAAACUUUAUGUAAAGAGCUACAGGUCAUAUACUUUGCAUCCAGCCGUGUUCUGUAUUACCUCAAAUAUUGGCUGAUAGUUUAUGACACUGUUUUUAUUUUUGUAUCAACAUUUGUGUGUCCAAUCUGUAAGCAUUGUUCUGAUGUUUUUGUGAUUGGCAUCUUAAAAAUACAGUGCGUUCUGUAUCUA
Long non-coding RNA from Oreochromis aureus, 2251 nucleotides. RefSeq lists it as uncharacterized. The transcript has 3 exons. NCBI's taxonomy places the organism in Eukaryota, Metazoa, Chordata, Actinopteri, Cichliformes, Cichlidae. The record is from RefSeq and is a predicted model, not a curated record.